GUAGGGAAUAUUGCGCAAUGGACGAAAGUCUGACGCAGCGACGCCGCGUGAGUGAUGAAGGCCUUAGGGUCGUAAAGCUCUGUUGAAUGGGAAGAAAAAAAUGACGGUACCAUUCGAGGAAGGACCGGCUAACUUCGUGCCAGCAGCCGCGGUAAUACGAGGGGUCCUAGCGUUGUUCGGAAUCAUCGGGCGUAAAGGGUGUGUAGGUGGCCAUGUAAGUCAGGUGGGAAAGCCCCGGGCUCAACCCGGGAAGUGCACUUGAUACUGCGUGGCUUGAGUACCGAAGAGGGUAGUGGAAUUCCAGGUGUAGUGGUGAAAUACGUAGAUAUCUGGAGGAACACCGGUGGCGAAGGCGGCUACCUGGUCGAGUACUGACACUGAGACACGAAAGCAUGGGGAUCAAACAGGAUUAGAAACCCCUGUAGUCC
RNAcentral lists this ribosomal RNA (428 nucleotides) under uncultured bacterium. Its description in RNAcentral is "partial 16S ribosomal RNA". It matches the Rfam family "Bacterial small subunit ribosomal RNA", at positions 354 to 796 of the family's 1533-position model. The record is from RNAcentral.